GGCCUUGUAUUCAUAUAAAAUGAUAUUAGAAUGCAAUUUUAAUGGUGUAAUUAGUACUAAGGCUU
RNAcentral lists this transfer RNA (65 nucleotides) under Phyllocrania paradoxa. RNAcentral's name for it is "tRNA-Cys". The record is from RNAcentral. Lineage: Eukaryota; Metazoa; Arthropoda; Insecta; Mantodea; Hymenopodidae.